This is a long non-coding RNA of Homo sapiens (human), 1651 nucleotides long. Ensembl annotates it as THUMPD3 antisense RNA 1. Its record names the gene THUMPD3-AS1. NCBI's taxonomy places the organism in Eukaryota, Metazoa, Chordata, Mammalia, Primates, Hominidae. The record is from Ensembl.
UACUAUAGGCAAAAGCUAAUGGAAACAUAGGUAGAAGAAAUGAAGUAAUAGUUAUUGAAUGCUUUUUGUGUACUGCAGGUGUGGAAACAGGAAGAGAACUAGAACUGGAAGUAAAGCAUUGAAGAUGUGACUGAAUUGCUGCAAUCUCAUGAUCAAAUUUGAAUGGAUGAGGAGUUGCUUUUUAGGGAUGAGCAAAGAAAGUGGUUUCUCGAGAUGGAAUCUACUGGUGAAGUUGCUGUGAACAUUGUUAAAAUGCCAAUAAAGGAUUUAGGAAUUACAGAAACCUGGUUGAUAAAGCAGUGCCAGGGUGUGAGAGAGUUGACUUCAAUUUUGAAAUAAGUUCCACUGGCUGGGUGUGGUGGCUCACACCUGCAAUCCCAGUACUUUAGGAGGCCGAGACUGGUAGAUCAUUUGAGGUCAGGAGUUCAAGACCAGCCUUGCCAACAUGGUGAAACCCCACCUCUACCAAAUUAGCCAGGUGUGGUGCACACCUGUAGUCCCAGCUACUUGGGAAGCUGAGGCAGGAGAAUCUCUUGAACCAGGGAGGAGGAGGUUGCAGUAAGCCGAGAUGGCGCCCCUGCACUCCAGCCUGGGUGACAGAGUGAGACCUUGCGUUUAAAAAAAAAAAAAAAGGAAAAGGAAAAAAAAGUUCUACUGUGGGUAAAAUGCUAUCAUGCUAUCAAACAGCAUCACAUGCUACAGAGAAGUCUUGUGAAAGGAUGUCAGUGUGGCAAACUUCAUUGUCUUUUAAGAAAUUGCCACAGCUAUCGUAAUCUUCAACCACCACCACCCUGAUGAGUCAGUAGCCAUCGUUAACGUUGGCGUAAGACCCUCCACCAGCAAAAAGAUUGUUAGCAUUUUUUUAGCAGUGAUGUAUUUAUCAAUUAUACAUAAUGCUAUUGUACACUUCUUAAUAGACUAUGGUAUAGUGUAACCAUAAUUUAUGCACUGGGAAACCAACAAAUUCAUGAGAUUCGCUUUAUUGUAGUGCUCUGGAAUUGAGCCUGCCGUGUUUCUGAGGUAUACCUGUGUAUUUAGUAUGUUCCUUGUAUAUAAAACCCCAUUUUAUAGGGUAGGAAACUAAGGCUUAGAGUUUGAGCAAUUUUCCCAUAGAUAACACCAAUAAAUUGAGGGCUGCAGAGACCACUUAAGUGGUUCUCUUAACAGUAGUCUAGACAUGACGUAAUGAGAUUUGGCUUAGGAGUGACAAUGGUAAGGAAGUUAAAGGAUUCAGGAACCAAAUACCAGUUAUUGAGAAGAAAGAAUGGCCUCAAAACAUCACUUCUCAAGGAAGCCUUGAUACCCUCACCCUUACUACACUGUAUCCUCCAUUUGAAUGUUGUCAAGAGCUCUUCUCACAAUUGUAAAUAAUAAUUGUGUAAUUUUGUUUUUUUUUUCCUACUUUAGGUUGCUCCUUGAGGGCAGGACAGUUCUUAUGGCUUUAUCCGUUGCGUAAGCACAGAGAGGUCUGCGAGGUCAAAACUAUUGUCAUGAUAGCAAGAUGCCUGUCUUUUUCAUUUAUUCUCACGGUGUGCAGAGGCUACAUGAUGUGUGAUGACAUCCUCAUUGAUGUUAAUGAAUGGUGCUAUACUUGAAUUUUCUAAGGUGUCAUUAGGUAGGUUUAGCAAUUCUCCUGCCUCAGCCUCCUGCA